UACAGAGGGGGCAAGCGUUGUUCGGAAUUACUGGGCGUAAAGAGUGUGUAGGCGGUGCUCUAAGUUCGGUGUGAAAUCUCCCGGCUUAACUGGGAGGGUGCGCCGGAAACUGGAGUGCUCGAGCGUGGGAGAGGAAAGCGGAAUUCCUGGUGUAGCGGUGAAAUGCGUAGAUAUCAGGAGGAACACCUGCGGUGUAGACGGCUUUCUGGACCAUUGCUGACGCUGAGACACGAAAGCGUGGGUAGCAAACAGG
RNAcentral lists this ribosomal RNA (253 nucleotides) under uncultured bacterium. Its description in RNAcentral is "partial 16S ribosomal RNA". It matches the Rfam family "Bacterial small subunit ribosomal RNA", at positions 524 to 776 of the family's 1533-position model. The record is from RNAcentral.